Molecule: long non-coding RNA, 1504 nt
Filed under: Homo sapiens (human)
Lineage: Eukaryota; Metazoa; Chordata; Mammalia; Primates; Hominidae
Description: non-protein coding lnc-SLC15A1-3:1
Source: RNAcentral
UGACAAUUUCUUGAAGAAUGCUUGAGCGUUUUCUUGAUGCAUGCAGAAGCGAAGGUUAUUUGGACAGAAGAAUUGCAUAAGAAAAGGCAUGGAAAUGUGAAAGGGAACAGUGAGCAAGGCAUCAUCCAGGGCUGUGACCUGGAAGGGCAGGAAGGGGAGCAGGCAGAUGGGCUUCAAGGCAAGCUGGAAGGUGGGCAGGACCCAGCAGUCCGGGGCUCACAGGCCUGGGGCCCAUCAGAGGUGGCGAUGCUAAGUCUAUGCCGUAGGAAUGCCUCCUCCUUUACGAUAUAUCCAAGUUUAAUUUCUUACUUAAUCGAACCGUGAUGUUUCCCUUUGGUAACUCAUAGAGACUUGGAAAUCUGGGAUAAGGUCUGUCUCUGCCGACUGGCCAUGCUCAAAUAAAGAUGAGUUCUUAGGGUCAUGCAAACUAUUAGGAAUUUUCCUCCAGCUUAAAGUAAGUCAAGUACGCCAAAUCUCUCACCCACAGGGUUGCACAUUCUGAAACCUUUCUGAUUCUUGAAAGCCUAAUUUUCCCCAGAUUUCUUUAAUUGCUUUGUUGGUUUUGCAUUCUUUUUAGCCAUCUUAAAUUUUAUAGACUGCGGCUUUAUAACAUGCUUAAAUAAAGCCUGUUCUUUUUAUGUUUGUCUGCAUUUAAAUGAUGCCAAAUUUAAGUUCAUAUUAUAGACAAAUAGUUAAAUUUUCCCAAAGAAGAAUAAAUUGUAUAAUUGAGCAUGACAGAGAAAUGGAGGUUUCAAAAGUUGAAAUUAGUGUGAGCAGACGAUUGACCCUUUGCCUGUGCCAGGCCUGCAUAUUAUGCUGUUUGCUUUAUCUGGCACCUUUUACUGGCUUCUUCAGAAUCCUGAGCUCAAGUUGGGUUCAGAUGCUGGUGUAAUAGGAUUCUUUCCCUCUCAAAUGAACAAUAACUCACACAGCUGCAAAGAAACAGAAAAGAUAACUUAGAAAAUCCAGUAAUAAAAGCACUGUACUUUGGGGGAAGAAAGGGGGCAGAAAUGUGUAUCAGCUGCAUUCCUGCCAUGGGCCCGGCACAGUCGCCAAGUCACUAAAGUUCUCUGGGCCCUCUUUCAGUCCCUCAUCAUUACCCUCAUUGAUGAUCAUGUUAGAGCCAAAAUAACUAAUCUGUAGGGAUAUUGUUUCUUCCAUAUUUUUUUUAGCAUUAUGGUCCGGAAAUUAAAUGGGUAGAUGGAGGCAAGCCACUGCUGAAAAUUUCCACUCAUCUGGUUUCUACAGUGUAUACUCAGGUAUGUGCUCCUUCAACAAAAUUAGCAGUUGCUGCCCUGUGACAAAGUUUGCACCAUUUUGCAAGAAGAAAAAAAUCCUAAUGUGUUAUAUUACUAUAUUUUUACUCUAUAGAUCUUUUUCUAAAGAAAGAAAGUACAACUGAAGUGCUUAUAUGUAUUCAUAUAAAUGACUAGUACAAGCAUCAUUUUGCAACAGAUUUCCCCUUUCAUUGGAGGAUCUUCUUGAUGUUAUUUGUACACGAUCA